AUAACUUUCAAAUCAUUCAUUGGU
RNAcentral lists this non-coding RNA (24 nucleotides) under Arabidopsis thaliana (thale cress). Lineage: Eukaryota; Viridiplantae; Streptophyta; Magnoliopsida; Brassicales; Brassicaceae. The record is from RNAcentral.